CGGGCAUAGCUCAAUUGGUAGAGCAUCAGCUUUCCAAGCUAAGGGCCGCGGGUUUGAGUCCCGUUGCCCAUCCA
RNAcentral lists this transfer RNA (74 nucleotides) under Actinomycetota bacterium. RNAcentral's name for it is "Actinobacteria bacterium (sediment metagenome) tRNA-Gly". It matches the Rfam family "tRNA". Rfam says of the family: Transfer RNA (tRNA) molecules are approximately 80 nucleotides in length. Their secondary structure includes four short double-helical elements and three loops (D, anti-codon, and T loops). Further hydrogen bonds mediate the characteristic L-shaped molecular structure. tRNAs have two regions of fundamental functional importance: the anti-codon, which is responsible for specific mRNA codon recognition, and the 3' end, to which the tRNAs corresponding amino acid is attached (by aminoacyl-tRNA synthetases). tRNAs cope with the degeneracy of the genetic code in two manners: having more than one tRNA (with a specific anti-codon) for a particular amino acid; and 'wobble' base-pairing, i.e. permitting non-standard base-pairing at the 3rd anti-codon position. The record is from RNAcentral. Lineage: Bacteria; Bacillati; Actinomycetota.